GCUCUAGUAGCGUAUAUUAAAGUUGUUGCAGUUAAAAAGCUCGUAGUUGAACUUGAAGUGUACAUGGAUGGUGUACUUAGCAGUGCUAUUGUUUGGUGUAUGCUUGAUGGGGUGGAUUAGCUGCAUGCACGCAAGUGUGUGCCAGUGAUGUCCAACAUUUACUGUGAAAAAAUUAGAGUGUUAAUUGUCAGAGGUGAAAU
Molecule: ribosomal RNA, 200 nt
Filed under: uncultured eukaryote
Lineage: Eukaryota
Description: partial 18S ribosomal RNA
Rfam family: Eukaryotic small subunit ribosomal RNA
Source: RNAcentral